ACCGUCACGUGACCUGGCGAGGCGGCGACCAUGGCCGUCCCUCUUUCCCCCACGCUGGUGCUGGGCGAGGCCUCGGAGAGCGACUCAGAGCCGGAGCCGGGGGGGAACACAGCCGGGACUCCCGCAGUGGGGCUGAAGGUUCCGGGGGAGGCGUCGGAGACCGAGGAGGAGGAGGAAGAGGACAGUGCGGCCCGGAUGCCGCUGCCAGGGGUGUCCAGGGGGGGCCCCUCACUGCUGCAGCAGCGGCUGGGGGCGGGCGAGGGGCGACUGCGGGGCGCAAUGGCUGAGGCACUGGGACGCAGUUUCAGUGGGGCUGCGCGGCUGCUGGAAGGUCUGGGGGGGCCCCUGGGCCACGCCCAAGCUGGGGCAGCUGCGACCGCGCACUGCCUGUGCCUGGUGCGCCGUGACCUGCGCGCUGUGGCUGCCACCGUAGCCACCAUCACCGCCUGUCACCUGCUGCCUGACAUCCGUGGGGAGCUGUGAGAGUGGGAAUGUCUUUGGGGGGGGGGGGGGGCAGUGCUGGCAGCUGUGGGGAGCUCCUGGCGUUGUUGUUGCAGUGUCACUGACACUGACCUUCAGCACUGUGUCCAAUGGACUCGAGGGUUGUGGUUGUCACUGAUGACAUUCUCAUUGUCACUGCAUUACCAGUGCUGUGUCCCCUUGAGCUGAUGCUGCCAUCAACAGCACUGCCGCUGAUCGCUCAGUGUCCCAGCGAUGUCCCUGUGUCACCUGGCCUGUGGGGACCUUGGCCUCACAGUGACGUUGUCAGUGAAUGGAAGCUCCUGACGAUUGAUUGAUGCAGAAUUCUGUAGUUUUGCCCUGUAUAGGGGAUCUGUGGGUUCUGGCACUGACUAAAGCCCUUUGGAGACAUAGCUGCAGCAAGGACACAGCUUUCACUAGGUGGGUGGCAGUGUGUUCACCCACGGCACUGUGGUCCCAGUGGUCUGAGCAAGGUCCCUUUUGUUGCCCCCCAUGUCCUUGGGCUGUGGUUGUGUCCUGUGCGUCCCUUCCUGCCAUAUGAAUGUCUCCAGCAUCUGGCCACUGUCCCCAAGCUGUGGCUAUGUCCUGUCACCCUAAGUGCCCCUUGGCCUUGUCCUUAGCUCUCUCCUACCUCUGUGUACCCCUCUGAGAACUUCAGCCAGGGACAGGGAGAAGUACAUACGAAUCUCACACCACGGAGCCACAUGGGUCUGUCACGCUGCAUCCUGCCUGGGCUGUCACGUCCUGUGGGACACCAGGGGAUACACCCUGGGUGCUAGUGGGCUUGUGGCACCAAAAUGCCCGGGGCCUGAUGAGGGUCCUGGGGGCUCCUGGCGUCUCCAGAAGGGUCCCAACUGUCCCCAGGGACUGACCUGAGGGGUAGUGGAAAACCAGGAUGAAGGUUCACUUUCCCCAUUCCCCUGUGUUGUGGCAAAGGGGAAAGGUUUUGUGAAGAGCACAGUGGUGUUGGAUUCUGUUCAUAAAGAUUCUAGACCUCAGUUCCCUUCCCGUAUCCAAAUUAGAAUGAAAGAUAGUAUUAACAAUUCAUCUUCUGAGGAAGAACCUCUGAGCACUUGUAACUGGCAGUGCUUUGAUAUUCUAGGUAACCUGUUCCAUAAGGAGUGCUGGGUGAUGCUGACUGAUACUGUCAAUUGUGAGCAUGCUCCACAGAAAGUUUCCCUCUGUGGGAGUGAGGAAACAAAAUGUGGUGAUUCAGUACUGUGGGGUUAUUAUGAGGUUACUAGAGUCUAGGAUUCUAGAGUCUGAGGAUUCUAUGAAUUGAUUAUUGGAGGAUUCUAUGAGGAUGCUAUGAGGAUACCAGCUCCUGUGAUUAUAAGUUCUGUUAUUUCAGAUUCUGUGAUCGUUUCAUGAUUCUAGAUUCCUUGACUCUGUGAUGAUUCUGGGCUUCAGUUGUGUGGUGAUUCUGAUUCCUCACUAAGAGUAUAGAUUCCCAGACUUGUAGCUACGCAAUACGAUGCGUUUCCAUCUCCACUCCUGUGCAUAGUGUGUGGCAUAGUUCUGAGUGCCUGACACAGCCCAAGCAAAAUCAAUUUCUGUAGGUUAUUACUAAAUAAAUAAAUAAAU
Molecule: long non-coding RNA, 2064 nt
Filed under: Gallus gallus (chicken)
Lineage: Eukaryota; Metazoa; Chordata; Aves; Galliformes; Phasianidae
Description: lncRNA (ENSGALG00010018031.1)
Source: RNAcentral